This 371-nucleotide ribosomal RNA is filed under the name uncultured bacterium. RNAcentral describes it as "bacterial SSU rRNA". It matches the Rfam family "Bacterial small subunit ribosomal RNA", at positions 527 to 896 of the family's 1533-position model. The record is from RNAcentral.
GUAGGGGGUAAGCGUUGUCCGGAUUUAUUGGGCGUAAAGAGCGUGUAGGCGGCCAGACAGGUCCGUUGUGAAAACUCGAGGCUCAACCUCGAGACGUCGACGGAAACCGUCUGGCUAGAGUCCGGAAGAGGAGUGUGGAAUUCCUGGUGUAGCGGUGAAAUGCGCAGAUAUCAGGAAGAACACCUAUGGCGAAGGCAGCACUCUGGGACGGUACUGACGCUGAGACGCGAAAGCGUGGGGAGCGAACAGGAUUAGAUACCCUGGUAGUCCACGCCGUAAACGAUGGAUGCUAGGUGUGGGCGGUGUCGACUCCGUCCGUGCCGAAGCUAACGCAUUAAGUGCCCCGCCUGGGGAGUACGGCCGCAAGGCUG